RNAcentral lists this transfer RNA (76 nucleotides) under Crassvirales sp. RNAcentral's name for it is "tRNA-Ile". It matches the Rfam family "tRNA". Rfam says of the family: Transfer RNA (tRNA) molecules are approximately 80 nucleotides in length. Lineage: Duplodnaviria; Heunggongvirae; Uroviricota; Caudoviricetes; Crassvirales. The record is from RNAcentral.
AUAGUAUUAGCUUAUUUGGUAAAGCGUUGAAUUUAUAAUUCAAAGACAGUUAGUUCAAAUCUAACAUACAUUAUUA